Non-coding RNA from Drosophila takahashii, 228 nucleotides. Lineage: Eukaryota; Metazoa; Arthropoda; Insecta; Diptera; Drosophilidae. The record is from RefSeq and is a predicted model, not a curated record.
UGUUUAAUAAAAUAUUUUGUGGCAAGUGAUAUAUACAUAAAUUAAAGUCAGAUCCAGAAAGUGACCAAAAUAAUAAUUUAUCGAAAUGCCUGAAGCUGAUUAUUUCAGAUAGUCUGGUUAUCGACUACAAUCUGGACGGAAGCAGCGGCAAAAAAUCUUUAAAAGCACGCAAAGGGCUAUAUGCGGUGCUUAACGGAGCGUUGACCCACCAAUCCGAAGACCCGAUAA